Molecule: ribosomal RNA, 351 nt
Filed under: Nematoda environmental sample
Lineage: Eukaryota; Metazoa; Nematoda
Description: bacterial SSU rRNA
Rfam family: Eukaryotic small subunit ribosomal RNA
Source: RNAcentral
CGCGAAUGGCUCAUUACAACAGCCUUAGUUUCUUGGAUCUUCAACAGUUACUUGGAUAACUGUGGUAAUUCUAGAGCUAAUACACGCAUGAAAGUCCCAGCUUUGCGGUUGGGAUGCAUUUAUUAGUAUAAAAACCAAUCGAGCUUAUUAGCUCGUUUUUGGUGAAUCUGAAUAACUCUGCUGAUCGCACUGGUCUUUGUACCGGCGACGUAUCUUUCAAGUGUCUGGCUUAUCAACUUUCGAUGGUAGUUUAUACGACUACCGUGGUUGUAACGGGUAACGGAGAAUAAGGGUUCGACUCCGGAGAGGGAGCCUGAGAAACGGCUACCACAUCCAAGGAAGGCAGCAGGC